ACGUGGGUAACCUGCCUUAUAGUGGGGGAUAGCCUUUCGAAAGGAAGAUUAAUACCGCAUAAGAUUGUAGUAUCGCAUGAUAUAGCAAUUAAAGGAGCAAUUCGCUAUAAGAUGGACCCGCGUCGCAUUAGCUAGUUGGUGAGGUAAUGGCUCACCAAGGCGACGAUGCGUAGCCGACCUGAGAGGGUGAUCGGCCACAUUGGGACUGAGACACGGCCCAGACUCCUACGGAGGCAGCAUG
RNAcentral lists this ribosomal RNA (241 nucleotides) under uncultured bacterium. RNAcentral describes it as "partial 16S ribosomal RNA". It matches the Rfam family "Bacterial small subunit ribosomal RNA", at positions 115 to 353 of the family's 1533-position model. The record is from RNAcentral.